Musa acuminata subsp. malaccensis (wild Malaysian banana) is the source of this 213-nucleotide non-coding RNA. Lineage: Eukaryota; Viridiplantae; Streptophyta; Magnoliopsida; Zingiberales; Musaceae. The record is from RefSeq and is a predicted model, not a curated record.
ACAGGCAAUCAGUUUGCAUGAUGAAUGAAGUAAAUGUCUGACAUUAUUAGUCAUGGGAUCCAUGAAACAUGGCUGAAGUGCAUCAGUUUGUGAUCUGUUCCCACCAAGCUUGAUCUGUUUGAACAGGCAAUCAGUUUGCAUGAUGAAUGAAGUAAAUGUCUGACAUUAUUAAUCAUGGUAUCCAUGGUGCCAGCUGGCUGAAGCCUUUCUUUU